AGUGACGCCGAGGCGAGGUCGCGGCUAAGCAGAGGCGCCGGGGUUUCUGGGCCGGGCUUCUCAGGACCGGGCUGGAACGUGCAGCUCCUGGCCGGGACACUCUGUGCUUUGCGGGGAAGGGAAGUGGCGGAGCCCGAGGAUCCGCUGCCGCUCGGGACUGAGCCCGCCACGCAGGCGCCUGUGCCAGCGUCGCCAUUGUUGCCUGUGGCCUUAGGGCCGCUCCGGCUGCCCGUCGGCCGGGUCCCAGCGACAGGUGGAAGUCAGACAAGGCUCAGAGUGGACCCUACAAUGUUGAGAAGGAAAUCCUUACUUCAAGAUUCUUGCGUGACACUGAGACCUGUCGACAGAAUUUUAGGAAUUUUCCAUACCCAGACCUGGCUGGUCCUCGAAAGGCAUUGAGUCAACUCCGAGAGCUCUGCCUUAAGUGGCUGAGACCUGAGAUUCACUCAAAGGAACAAAUUUUGGAGCUGCUGGUGCUGGAGCAAUUCCUGACCAUCCUGCCUGGUGAGGUUAGGACUUGGGUAAAGUCCCAGUAUCCAGAGAGCAGCGAGGAAGCAGUGACUCUGG
This 567-nucleotide long non-coding RNA is filed under the name Homo sapiens (human). RNAcentral describes it as "non-protein coding lnc-ZNF624-3:1". The record is from RNAcentral. Lineage: Eukaryota; Metazoa; Chordata; Mammalia; Primates; Hominidae.